CGCGGCCGGAGCAGGGGGAAGAGUCGGCGGAGUGGAGGAGCUUUAACAGCUCUUGUAAGAGCUAUAACCGCCGCGAGCGGUCCCACCGCCAGCGGUCCCUGCGCCUGCUGCCUCCUGCAGCUUCCAGCCACCUGCAGCCCUGCCUCCGGCGGUCCUGCCUCCAGCAGCCCCGAGCCGCCAUCUGCAGCCUC
This is a long non-coding RNA of Mustela erminea (ermine), 191 nucleotides long. RefSeq lists it as uncharacterized. NCBI's taxonomy places the organism in Eukaryota, Metazoa, Chordata, Mammalia, Carnivora, Mustelidae. The transcript has 3 exons. The record is from RefSeq and is a predicted model, not a curated record.